Molecule: transfer RNA, 65 nt
Filed under: Himacerus apterus
Lineage: Eukaryota; Metazoa; Arthropoda; Insecta; Hemiptera; Nabidae
Description: tRNA-Leu
Source: RNAcentral
ACUGUUUUGGCAGAUAAUUGUAAUAAAUUUAGAAUUUAUAUAUGUGAUGUAUAUCACAAACAGUA